GUCAGGGUUAAAGCAGAUGAUUGGGUUCCAAGUUCCUGAAAGCUUUCCUCUAAGGCAUUGCUAGGCUAUGUAAGGGCUACAGGAGGGGAGGAGGACGGAAGGAAAGGAGAAGAUAAGAAAACCUUUGCAGUUUCUCUGACAGGAGGAUAGCAGGAUGACCUUUUUCAUGGGAAGAUUUGUGGAACUUUCAGGAGACCCUGUGGCUUCUACAGAGAUGCUGUGGAUUACUCUGUGCCUGAAAUGUG
Phascolarctos cinereus (koala) is the source of this 245-nucleotide non-coding RNA. The record is from RefSeq and is a predicted model, not a curated record. Lineage: Eukaryota; Metazoa; Chordata; Mammalia; Diprotodontia; Phascolarctidae.